Small nucleolar RNA from Mugil cephalus (flathead mullet), 222 nucleotides. RefSeq annotates it as small nucleolar RNA SNORA73 family. The transcript has a single exon. The record is from RefSeq and is a predicted model, not a curated record. Lineage: Eukaryota; Metazoa; Chordata; Actinopteri; Mugiliformes; Mugilidae.
CCGACGUGGACAUCCAGGACCUGCUUUCCUGGCUCUGUCCUGGUGGCGUAUGGGAGCGUAGCUCUGAGAGCUGAGACGUACAGUCCCGUUCCACGCCGUCGGACACUAAGCUCCGUCCCCGGCGUCCUCGCUGGUGAGGACGGGGCGUCCUGCAUAUUCCUACGUCUUCCUAGAGUCUCUGUGGGGCCGUGACUGGGGAGAUAAACCAUGCAGGACACAAAC